Molecule: long non-coding RNA, 1891 nt
Organism: Ictalurus punctatus (channel catfish)
Lineage: Eukaryota; Metazoa; Chordata; Actinopteri; Siluriformes; Ictaluridae
Source: Ensembl
GGAGGGGGUGGGAGGGAAUCAAGGCCAACGUUUGUACGUUUGUCCGUUAAAAUUUCAGCACGUUUACUUGUCUAAAAAAAACACUUCUCGGAGCAAUACCGUAGCUAAAGCAGGACUGUGAAUACACAAACUCCGUUUUCCCCCUUUUUCAUGCUAAAGAGCGAAAGUGUUGAAUCCGAGCGAGAGCGUAGUAAUCUAUAGUAAGUAACGUUGUUAUACGCUAGCUUAGUCACCGAGCGUGGAGGUUGUAAUCGACGUGUGCCGUGCAGCGCGAGAUCUCAACCCUGUCAGAAGAGGGCAGAUAGAGCUUGAAAAGAUGCGGUUGUUUGGCUCCGUGUGUCUCCGAGGAAGCGCGUGUUAGGCUUCACCCUUCCCGCUUGGUUGCUGUCGCAUGAUGAGGGAAAGCUGGUGGGCAGAAAUUCGCCAAAACCGAAUUUUGAAAUACUGCCGCAUUUUAAAGCGGCAGUAUGUAAUGUUUAGGGCCUAUAAAGCGACAUAAUUUCCCUCCAAACCAAUCAUACAUUUUAAAGCGGCGGUAUGUAAUCUUUAGAGCCCUUAAAGCGACGUCUUUUUCCUCCAAACCCGAUCAUACAUUUUAAAGUGGCGGUAUGUAAUACUUAGAGCUCUUAAAGCUAUAUAAUUUUCCUCAAAACCCGAUCAUACAUUUUAAAGCAGCUGUAUAUAAUGUUUAGGGCCCAUAAAGCGAGAUCUUUUUCUUCCAAACCAAUCAGACAUUUUAAAGCAGCGGUAUGUAAUCUUUAGAGCCCUUAAAGCGACGUCUUUUUCCUCCAAACCAAUCAUACAUUUUAAAGCGGCGGUAUGUAAUCUUUAGAGCCCUUAAAGCGACGUCUUUUCCCUCCAAACCCGAUCAUACGUUUUAAAGCAGCUGUACAAAAUAUUUAGAGCCCUUAAAGCUACAUCAAUUUUCCUCAAAUCCGAUCGUACAUUUUAAAGGUGCAGUAUGCAAUAUUUAGAGCCCUUAAAGCUACAACUUUCCUCAGAACCGAGCAUACAAUUUAAAGCGGCAGUGCGUAACGUCCGGAGCCAUUUUUAAACGCUUAUUAAACCCGAGGUACCUCAGAAGUCGAAGGUGAACGUCGGUGAGCUGGUUCUCCGGGUUUUAGUCCCACCGUCGAGCUUCCACUCGACUCUCCCGUCGGUCCGUCCGCUCUAAGGAAGCGCCCGUUUGUUUUCCCUAUUCGGAGAACCCGUACGAUUCUGCCACGCUACGUUACGUUUACACGUUGCCUUUGAAAAACACGUCGGUCCGUGCUGAAAACCAGGUGUUUUACCUGUAGCUCAGAACUGUUUGGUGUCGUUCGAGAGAGCCGGUCACGUCAAAUCGACUCAUUUCUUCGUUUGCCAGGUUAGCCGAUGCUCGCCGAUGGACUUGAGAUCUGCCCCAACAAAUCGGUCUGUUCUCCCUGCUUUCUCUCCGAACAACGUUAAGCGACCAGUCAAGCAUCGAUCAUGUCCGGUACGACAGACCGCAUCUGCGAAUCAGCAUGUCUCAGUGACUCGUAGUUGAUUUUAGUAAAUAUAUUUGGUUUCAUUUGGUGUUUUUGUUUUUCUUGGGUUUUUUUUUCUUCUCAUCGGAUCCAGGAACCGGAAUACACGGUGUCUGGGAAGCAAAAUGGCAGAUUUGGAAUCUUUAGGGGCGGGGCGGGGGGAGUUCCCCGCAAAAUCGAACACUAUGUUGAGAAUAGGACACAUUCUGUUCUUGAUCUCAGGUCCAGAUGAUGAUGAUGAUGAUGAUGAUGAUGAUGAUCUGGGGUUAAAUACCUCGUCGUUACGUGACGACGAUCUCCAGACCUUGUGAUGUUGGCUGGUCGAGUGCGAAACCGUAAAAGCGAUGUUUGAUGGUAGUCUGCGGGGGCAAAGCUGAACGCCU